RNAcentral lists this ribosomal RNA (465 nucleotides) under uncultured bacterium. RNAcentral describes it as "SSU rRNA". It matches the Rfam family "Bacterial small subunit ribosomal RNA", at positions 26 to 518 of the family's 1533-position model. The record is from RNAcentral.
AGGACUAACGCUGGCGGCGUGCCUAACACAUGCAAGUCGAACGAGAGUAGCAAUACUCUAGUGGCAGACGGGUGAGUAACACGUGGUCAACCUACCUCUUAGUGGGGGAUAACUAGCCGAAAGGUUAGCUAAUACCGCAUUCGAUCUUCGAUCGGCAUCGAUUGAAGAUGAAAGGCGCAAGUCGCUAAGAGACGGGACCGCGUCCCAUUAGCUAGUUGGUAGGGUAAUGGCCUACCAAGGCGACGAUGGGUAGCUGGCUUGAGAGAGCGACCAGCCACACUGGGACUGAGACACGGCCCAGACUCCUACGGGAGGCAGCAGUGAGGAAUUUUCCGCAAUGGGCGAAAGCCUGACGGAGCGACGCCGCGUGUGGAAGAAGGCCUUCGGGUCGUAACCACUGUCGAAGGGGAAGAUAUUGACGGUACCCUUGGAGGAAGCCCCGGCUAACUACGCGCCAGCGGCCGC